Molecule: ribosomal RNA, 493 nt
Filed under: uncultured bacterium
Lineage: Bacteria
Description: partial 16S ribosomal RNA
Rfam family: Bacterial small subunit ribosomal RNA
Source: RNAcentral
GACGAACGCUGGCGGCGUGCUUAACACAUGCAAGUCGAGCGAUGAAAGCCUUAUGAACUAUUCGUAGUGAUUGGGGCCGGAUUAGCGGCGGACGGGUGAGUAACGCGUGAGCAACCUGCCUUAAACAACGGGAUAGCCUCGGGCAACCGGGAUUAAUACCGUAUGAGACCCCGCCUUCACAUGAAGAAGAGGUUAAAGAUUAUCGGUUUAAGAUGGGGUCGCGUCUGAUUAGCUAGUUGGUGAGAUAAAAGCCCACCAAGGCAACGAUCAGUAACCGGCUUGAGAGAGUGAACGGUCACAUUGGAACUGAGACACGGUCCAAACUCCUACGGGAGGCAGCAGUGGGGAAUAUUGCACAAUGGGGGAAACCCUGAUGCAGCGACGCCGCGUGAGCGAUGAAGGAAUUCGUUUCGUAAAGCUCUGUCCAAGGGGAAGAUAAUGACAGUACCCUUGGAGGAAGCCCCGGCUAAAUACGUGCCAGCAGCCGCGGUAA